GAUGAACGCUGGCGGCGUGCCUAAUACAUGCAAGUCGAGCGAACAGACGUGGCGCUUGCUCCUCUGACGUUAGCGGCGGACGGGUGAGUAACACGUGGAUAACCUACCUAUAAGACUGGGAUAACUUCGGGAAACCGGAGCUAAUACCGGAUAAUAUAUUGCACCGCAUGGUUCAAUAGUGAAAGACGGUUUUGCUGUCACUUCUAGAUGGAUCCGCGCCGCAUUAGCUAGUUGGUAAGUUAACGGCCUACCAAGGCAACGAUGCGUAGCCGACCUGCGAGAGUGAUCGGCCACACUGGAACGGAGACACGGACCAGACUCCUACGGGAGGCAGCAGUAGGGAAUCUUCCGCAAUGGGCGAGAGCCUUACGGAGCAACGCCGCGUGAGUGAUGAAGGUCUUCGGAUCGUAAAACUCUGUUAUUAGGGAAGAACAAAUGUGUAAGUAACUAUGCACGUCUUGACGGUACCUAAUCAGAAAGCCACGGCUAACUACGUG
This 497-nucleotide ribosomal RNA is filed under the name uncultured bacterium. Its description in RNAcentral is "partial 16S ribosomal RNA". It matches the Rfam family "Bacterial small subunit ribosomal RNA", at positions 28 to 507 of the family's 1533-position model. The record is from RNAcentral.